RNAcentral lists this Y RNA (98 nucleotides) under Carlito syrichta (Philippine tarsier). Its description in RNAcentral is "Y RNA (ENSTSYG00000020783.2)". It matches the Rfam family "Y RNA". Rfam says of the family: Y RNAs are components of the Ro ribonucleoprotein particle (Ro RNP), in association with Ro60 and La proteins. The Y RNAs and Ro60 and La proteins are well conserved, but the function of the Ro RNP is not known. Lineage: Eukaryota; Metazoa; Chordata; Mammalia; Primates; Tarsiidae. The record is from Rfam by way of RNAcentral.
AGUUGGUCUGAGUGCAGUGGUGUUUACAACUAGUUGAUAACAAUCAGUUACAAAUUUCUUUUUUCCUUCUCCAUCCUGUUUCACUUGGCUAGCCUUUA